AGUGAACGCUGGCGGUAGGCCUAACACAUGCAAGUCGAACGGCAGCACAGUAAGAGCUUGCUCUUACGGGUGGCGAGUGGCGGACGGGUGAGGAAUACAUCGGAAUCUACUUUUUCGUGGGGGAUAACGUAGGGAAACUUACGCUAAUACCGCAUACGACCUACGGGUGAAAGCAGGGGAUCUUCGGACCUUGCGCGAUUGAAUGAGCCGAUGUCGGAUUAGCUAGUUGGCGGGGUAAAGGCCCACCAAGGCGACGAUCCGUAGCUGGUCUGAGAGGAUGAUCAGCCACACUGGAACUGAGACACGGUCCAGACUCCCACGGGAGGCAGCAGUGGGGAAUAUUGGACAAUGGGCGCAAGCCUGAUCCAGCCAUACUGCGUGGGUGAAGAAGGCCUUCGGGUUGUAAAGCCCUUUUGUUGGGAAAGAAAAGCAGCAGGUUAAUACCCCGCUGUUCUGACGGUACCCAAAGAAUAAGCACCGGCUAACUUCGUG
RNAcentral lists this ribosomal RNA (492 nucleotides) under uncultured bacterium. RNAcentral's name for it is "partial 16S ribosomal RNA". It matches the Rfam family "Bacterial small subunit ribosomal RNA", at positions 29 to 507 of the family's 1533-position model. The record is from RNAcentral.